CCCCCCCCCCCCAACAAAAAAAAGAAAGUGUUGCCGGAAAUGCAGUAGGCAAAAAGUUUUCAAAUAUGACUCCAUAACAGGAAGAAGGAUAAAUGAGGGGCAAGCAGAAGUAAGGGUGAAAUGGUUACCUUGCUCUGCAUGUGGAAAAAUCUGGGAGGAGACAUGGGAGCCGGCCUGCCAGUUCUCACCAGGUGUCAAGCAUGUGUGACGUCACCCAUUCGUCUACAAUUCAAUAUGAGUUGAAUACCUGCUAUGAGUUGUCGAGAUCGCUGUUACGGCACAGCCAUCCUGUUUGCAGAUGUGACGAUUUUAGAUGAGAAGGAGGAGCCACGUUACACACUUUCAAUGGUUUCCACCCUAACAUGCUGUCAUGCUGUUUUUUUCUUUAUUACUGAUUCUUGUUAAAAGCUAUGUUCAA
Carassius carassius (crucian carp) is the source of this 418-nucleotide long non-coding RNA. RefSeq lists it as uncharacterized. The transcript is spliced from 4 exons. The record is from RefSeq and is a predicted model, not a curated record. NCBI's taxonomy places the organism in Eukaryota, Metazoa, Chordata, Actinopteri, Cypriniformes, Cyprinidae.